AGCUAGUGUGGCGUAGUGGUUUGCGUGCUGGACUAAAAUUCGGGAGACUGGGGUUCGAUUCCCAGAUUGGCUA
This is a non-coding RNA of Phrynosoma platyrhinos (Desert horned lizard), 73 nucleotides long. Lineage: Eukaryota; Metazoa; Chordata; Lepidosauria; Squamata; Phrynosomatidae. The record is from the annotation of a GenBank genome assembly.